RNAcentral lists this long non-coding RNA (653 nucleotides) under Marmota monax (woodchuck). The record is from RNAcentral. Lineage: Eukaryota; Metazoa; Chordata; Mammalia; Rodentia; Sciuridae.
CCAAAAUCUAUUCCCAGUAAUGAAUUGGAAACAACCUACCUGUUCACCCAUAGAGGGCUGGGAAAUAAAGUGUGGUGUUCUUCUCAGAGCACGAUAUGGCUGGUAAGAUAAAUGAUCCAACAAACAGGACACACACAUUCCUAAGGCAAGUGGAAUGCCUAAGGCAAGUGUCUCUCACCCAACAUGAUCUUCUUCCUUGCCUUUUCCUUCUCGCACAGGUCACAUGGCAUCAUUGAAGUGUAUGUGUGUUUGUGUGUGUGCGUGCAUGUGUAUGCACUAUUUGUCUACACAUCCAAGAACUGAACAGGCUACCACUUUUAACUUUUAUUUCCAUGUUUUGUAGCUACCACAAAUAGAAACAGUGAUUCAUUCACUUUCUCCUUGAAAUUUCACUCAACUGGAAGAUUGUCUCCAUUUAGGAAUCCAGUUCACAGGUGUGGGUUGAGGUCAGCAUUGAUGCUCACUCGCUGAUAGCUCAAGGGUCUAAAAACUCGUCUCCUACUCAUACUUGAAGGCUAAGAAAAGCAGGAAAGGUCUUCAUGAACAGGCCCAUAAAAGGCAAAGUGGCACUUGAAUCAAAGUGUGGAAUAUGAUAUGUCAAGAAAUUUGUAAUGUUUUGAACAACCCACAAUAAAAAAUUUAAAAAAAAAGGC